CAGCAGUGGGGAAUUUUGCACAAUGGGCGCAAGCCUGAUCCUCAGAGCUAGCCGCGUGAGUGAAGAAGGCCUUCGGGUUGUAAAGCUCUUUCGCAAGGGAAGAAACUUACCUUCUAAUAAUAGGUUUUUCUUAGUACGUACCUGAAGAAGAAGCACCGGCUAACUACGUGCCAAGCUG
Molecule: ribosomal RNA, 178 nt
Filed under: uncultured bacterium
Lineage: Bacteria
Description: partial 16S ribosomal RNA
Rfam family: Bacterial small subunit ribosomal RNA
Source: RNAcentral